CAUUUUGGAAAUGUUACAUGGACAAUACUAUCCCAUUUUGGAAAUGUUACAUGAACAAUACUAUCCCAUUUUGGAAACGUUACAUGUCCGCCCCCUUGUGGAGGGAAAUUAAUAUCUUAGAUGGUACAGAACAUGGACACAAUGCAAUUGGGAUCAAGAAGAAGGUACAGAUAUGUUGUAGGACAGCUGCAUUUGAAGUGUACAUUUAACCUACAUAGCAGUCAACACAAACUGACAUCUAUUAGCGUACAAAUGUGUGCAAAUGAUCUUUUCAGAUCUUGUCAGAAAUGAAUCAAGUCCAUGGAAUGGAUAUAGACAAAAAGAUAAUUCAAGGACUAUCAGAGGUUGAGAGGCGAGGCAGGGGUGAGGACAUCAUCCUGCUAUUUUGACAGUCCCUGAAGGACAAUACAGAAGAGGUAUCUGCUCUUAUUCCUUCCCUUUCUCUAAUGUAUUUUGUAAUGAAAUUAGCAAGUGUAGUAAGAUCAUUGCUUUACUUUACUAGGACUGGAGACCACAGCAGCGAUUCUGCUCUUGCCCAACCUCUUCAAUGAGGACACGAGUGGCCUUUAUGUCCAUGACAAGAUUUCACCGCUCUUCACUCCUUUACUGCACAUCGGUGGAAAUCCAUUUCACCAUGAGAGUGAAAUCCCGCUGGCCUUUGAUGGGGAGAACAUCCAGGCCCUCGAGGACGUCCCCAUGGGACUUGAGGCUCUGCUACGACUGGAUUUUUAUUUUCUGUAAAAUUUCCCCAAAAUGUCAGAAAAACACUUAUGUUGUUAAGUUACUGUGUUCUGGGGAUCAGAGAAGUUGGGGUGAAGUUACCAGGGCCGGUCAUAAAGAUGGAAAACUUCCUAACAUAACUAAGUGGAUAUGAUAUACACACUAAAGCUGAAACAUCUGUAUUUAGCAUCAAGUCUACAAUAUUGUUAGUUUACCUAUGAUUCAUUUUUUAUGUUUUUAUUGUACAUCAUUAUUAUUGUUGCAAUAUUGUAAUGUGUUUUGUUUGGUAAAUUGUUUUGUAAAUAUUAAUUCAUAUUUGUGGUGGCACUAAAU
Molecule: long non-coding RNA, 1053 nt
Filed under: Salmo trutta (river trout)
Lineage: Eukaryota; Metazoa; Chordata; Actinopteri; Salmoniformes; Salmonidae
Description: lncRNA (ENSSTUG00000015907.1)
Source: RNAcentral